AGCGUAGGCGGAUAGUUUAGUCAGAGGUGAAAGCCCAGGGCUCAACCUUGGAAUUGCCUUUGAUACUGGCUAUCUUGAGUAUGGAAGAGGUAUGUGGAACUCCGAGUGUAGAGGUGAAAUUCGUAGAUAUUCGGAAGAACACCAGUGGCGAAGGCGACAUACUGGUCCAUUACUGACGCUGAGGCUCGAAAGCGUGGGAGCAAACA
RNAcentral lists this ribosomal RNA (206 nucleotides) under uncultured bacterium. Its description in RNAcentral is "partial 16S ribosomal RNA". It matches the Rfam family "Bacterial small subunit ribosomal RNA", at positions 568 to 774 of the family's 1533-position model. The record is from RNAcentral.